This is a small nuclear RNA of Cebus imitator (Panamanian white-faced capuchin), 142 nucleotides long. Its record names the gene U4. It matches the Rfam family "U4 spliceosomal RNA". Rfam says of the family: U4 small nuclear RNA (U4 snRNA) is a component of the major U2-dependent spliceosome. The structure of U4 snRNA from yeast and human has been reported. U4 snRNA presents a k-turn RNA motif in the 5p-SL related to recognition of Snu13 protein. NCBI's taxonomy places the organism in Eukaryota, Metazoa, Chordata, Mammalia, Primates, Cebidae. The record is from Ensembl.
AGCUUUGUACAGUGGCAGUAUUGUGUAGCCAAUGAGGUUUUUCCAGGGGCGAUUAUUGCUAAUUAACAACUUCUCCCAAUAUCCCAUUAUGACGACUUGAAAUAUAGUUGGCAUUGGCAAUUUUUGGCAGUCUCUACAAGGA